GACGAACGCUGGUGGCGUGCUUAACACAUGCAAGUCGAACGGGAUUUCGUAAACAGAAGCCUCGGUGGAAGAUUACUAAUGAGAGUGGCGAACGGGUGAGUAACGCGUGAGCAACCUGCCUAUGACAGUGGGAUAGCCUCGGGAAACCGGGAUUAAUACCGCAUAAAAUCGUAGAAACACAUGUUUUAACGGACAAAGAUUUAUCGGUCAUAGAUGGGCUCGCGUCUGAUUAGCUAGUUGGUGAGAUAACAGCCCACCAAGGCGACGAUCAGUAGCCGGUCUGAGAGGAUGAACGGCCACAUUGGAACUGAGACACGGUCCAAACUCCUACGGGAGGCAGCAGUGGGGAAUAUUGCACAAUGGGGGAAACCCUGAUGCAGCGACGCCGCGUGAACGAAGAAGGUAUUCGUAUCGUAAAGUUCUGUCCUAUGGGAAGAUAAUGACAGUACCAUAGAAGAAAGCUCCGGCUAAAUACGUG
Molecule: ribosomal RNA, 478 nt
Filed under: uncultured bacterium
Lineage: Bacteria
Description: partial 16S ribosomal RNA
Rfam family: Bacterial small subunit ribosomal RNA
Source: RNAcentral